Molecule: non-coding RNA, 29 nt
Filed under: Mus musculus (house mouse)
Lineage: Eukaryota; Metazoa; Chordata; Mammalia; Rodentia; Muridae
Source: RNAcentral
UAGGAAUCUUGUGUCUCAUGGGUCUGUGG